Molecule: ribosomal RNA, 250 nt
Filed under: uncultured bacterium
Lineage: Bacteria
Description: partial 16S ribosomal RNA
Rfam family: Bacterial small subunit ribosomal RNA
Source: RNAcentral
AUACGUAGGUGGCAAGCGUUAUCCGGAUUUACUGGGUGUAAAGGGCGUGUAGGCGGGACUGCAAGUCAGAUGUGAAAAUUAUGGGCUCAACCCAUAACCUGCAUUUGAAACUGUGGUUCUUGAGUGAUGGAGAGGCAGGCGGAAUUCCGUGUGUAGCGGUGAAAUGCGUAGAUAUACGGAGGAACACCAGUGGCGAAGGCGGCCUGCUGGACAUUAACUGACGCUGAGGCGACGAAAGCGGUGGGGAGAC